Long non-coding RNA from Pezoporus flaviventris, 1069 nucleotides. RefSeq lists it as uncharacterized. NCBI's taxonomy places the organism in Eukaryota, Metazoa, Chordata, Aves, Psittaciformes, Psittacidae. The record is from RefSeq and is a predicted model, not a curated record. The transcript has 4 exons.
GGCUGAGUCUUGCCGAGUGUCGGGCAGGCUGCCCGCGUUGCGCCCGUGUGUCUGUGCACCCCGUAGUGCUGCCUAGUCGGGCCCGGCCUGAGGUCGGCGUUCUGUCAGAGAUGUGUAGCACAACCUUCAUGUCCAGCCUGGGCUGCUGUGGAGUCCGGCCUGUUUGUGUGUGGUGCUUCUUGUUACCCAGCUAACAAAAAACACUGCCUUGCAGUUUCAUCCCAUGGACACGGGAAGAGGACAUGUGUACUGUGGUGGAUCCUGGGCUGCCAGGGUGCUGAUGCCCUGGAUGUACUGCUGCUGAGGGGCUGCCUGGCAGGCCAGGCACAACAGGUGUGCGUCUACAAAACCCAUUCACACAAAUUCACCAAGAAGAGGGGGUUGUGUCAGGAUCAAUAAAUAGUUAAACAGCCCUUCUUCUGUCCCCUGCAGCAUGAGGUGGACUCUCUCUUCAUACCAUCCCUGUAGAAUAUUCCUAUAUAGAGCUGAAGGUGUGCUCCCCGAGCCGUCAGCUUGCCAGAGCUCGACUGGAUUUAAACAGGGAAAUGCAGAGGCUGAGAAAUGAAAAUGAACUGUCAGCAGCUUUUGAAUCCAAAGUGCUGAACAUUGCUGUGAGCCCAGAAUAAUAAGCUGCAUUUCAAGACACAGACCCCGUGGAUGAAUUAUAUGUUCCAGAGCUGGUUCUGAGAACAACACUGGGGAUAAGCUGCAUGAGAUGCUUGAUCCAAUUUGGUAGCAGAACACAUGGCAUUGUUUGGAAGUUACAGAAAUAUUUUAGCGAGGGUGGAGGGGAAGUAAUGUUUAUAUCAGAGUUUGCAGUUUCACCUGGGGAGAAGAGUUUGCUUUACAGAAUAAAUGGCUAAGAAGUAUGUAUGUAUAGGAAGGGGGUUUUGUCUCCUUCUCCAGUUAUUCCUCACUCAUUUAGGUUUGUACAAUUGUUAGUUCUCUAAGUGCCUGUGGAUUCCCCUGGGGUGCGUGUCACUCCAGGUGUUCAUUCAUUUGAAUGUUCUUUCCUGAAAAUUAAAUUUUUUAACUGUGCCUUGUAUUUAUUGCUUUGUAAUUUGCCUUU